AGGGGAUUGGUCAAGUGGUAUGACAGAAGUCUCCAAAACUUUUAGUGGGAGUUCGAUUCUCUCAUCCCCUGC
Molecule: transfer RNA, 72 nt
Filed under: Robinsoniella peoriensis
Lineage: Bacteria; Bacillati; Bacillota; Clostridia; Lachnospirales; Lachnospiraceae
Description: tRNA-Trp
Rfam family: tRNA
About the family: Transfer RNA (tRNA) molecules are approximately 80 nucleotides in length. Their secondary structure includes four short double-helical elements and three loops (D, anti-codon, and T loops).
Source: RNAcentral